RNAcentral lists this unclassified non-coding RNA (263 nucleotides) under Hevea brasiliensis (rubber tree). Lineage: Eukaryota; Viridiplantae; Streptophyta; Magnoliopsida; Malpighiales; Euphorbiaceae. The record is from RNAcentral.
GAACACCUAAAUGAGCUGUAGCAGAAAUGCACCCAAAAUUGGAUGUCAGUAGGCUGCAAAACCAUCAAUCUGCACAGAAGAUCACAUAAAGCUACAAUCAAAGAGCUCCAUCCAUCUUAUAGAAGAUCCAUACAUAUGCUCUCUCGAUAAAAGAGCAAUAAUGAAGACCUUCAGUCUUCUGCCAGACCAAGCUUACCAAAAACUUAACAUCAGUUUCAUCUUGAUUAUGAGACAUGGCCUUUACCCAAGGUAUGCAAAAUUAC